GAUGAGCGCCGGUGAGCUGGAGAGCGGGAACGCGGGAGAGCCGGCGAAGCUGAUCAGGCAGCGCUACAGGGAGGCGGCCGACAUCAUCAAGAAGGGGAAGAUGUGCUGCCUCUUCAUCAACGACCUCGACGCCGGGGCCGGCCGGAUGGGCGGCACCACCCAGUACACGGUCAACAACCAGAUGGUGAACGCCACGCUCAUGAACAUCGCCGACAACCCCACCAACGUGCAGCUUCCCGGGAUGUACAACAAGCAGGAGAACCCCCGCGUGCCCAUCAUCGUCACCGGAAACGACUUCUCCACCCUCUACGCGCCGCUCAUCCGUGACGGUCGUAUGGAGAAGUUCUACUGGGCACCCACCCGCGACGACCGUGUCGGUGUGUGCAAGGGUAUCUUCCGUACCGACGGCGUCUCCGACGAGUGCGUCACCAAACUCGUCGACACCUUCCCCGGCCAGUCCAUCGGUA
This 467-nucleotide long non-coding RNA is filed under the name Salvia miltiorrhiza (redroot sage). RNAcentral describes it as "long non-coding RNA (SMIL_LNC007313)". Lineage: Eukaryota; Viridiplantae; Streptophyta; Magnoliopsida; Lamiales; Lamiaceae. The record is from RNAcentral.